This 467-nucleotide ribosomal RNA is filed under the name uncultured bacterium. RNAcentral's name for it is "partial 16S ribosomal RNA". It matches the Rfam family "Bacterial small subunit ribosomal RNA", at positions 29 to 507 of the family's 1533-position model. The record is from RNAcentral.
ACGCACGCUGGCGGCGUGCUUCACACAUGCCAGUCGAACGGAAAGGCCCUGCUUUUGUGGGGUGCUCGAGUGGCGAACGGGUGAGUAACACGUGAGUAACCUGCCCUUGACUUUGGGAUAACUUCAGGAAACUGGGGCUAAAACCGGAUAGGAGCUCCUGCUGCAUGGUGGGGGUUGGAAAGUUUCGGCGGUUGGGGAUGGACUCGCGGCUUAUCAGCUUGUUGGUGGGGUAGUGGCUUACCAAGGCUUUGACGGGUAGCCGGCCUGAGAGGGUGACCGGCCACAUUGGGACUGAGAUACGGCCCAGACUCCUACGGGAGGCAGCAGUGGGGAAUAUUGCACAAUGGGCGGAAGCCUGAUGCAGCAACGCCGCGUGCGGGAUGACGGCCUUCGGGUUGUAAACCGCUUUCGCCUGUGACGAAGCGUGAGUGACGGUAAUGGGUAAAGAAGCACCGGCUAACUACGUG